UCCGAUAUGGUCUAGUGGCUAGGAUUUGCCGCUCUCAUUGAGAGUUAGAUUACUUCUAAGUACCGGCAAGGCCCGGGUUCGAUUCCCGGUGUCGGAA
Molecule: transfer RNA, 97 nt
Filed under: Periconia macrospinosa
Lineage: Eukaryota; Fungi; Ascomycota; Dothideomycetes; Pleosporales; Periconiaceae
Rfam family: tRNA
About the family: Transfer RNA (tRNA) molecules are approximately 80 nucleotides in length. Their secondary structure includes four short double-helical elements and three loops (D, anti-codon, and T loops).
Source: Rfam by way of RNAcentral